RNAcentral lists this ribosomal RNA (253 nucleotides) under uncultured bacterium. RNAcentral's name for it is "partial 16S ribosomal RNA". It matches the Rfam family "Bacterial small subunit ribosomal RNA", at positions 524 to 776 of the family's 1533-position model. The record is from RNAcentral.
UACGUAGGGGGCAAGCGUUGUCCGGAUUUAUUGGGCGUAAAGAGCGUGUAGGCGGUUCGGUAGGUCCGUUGUGAAAACUCGAGGCUCAACCUCGAGACGCCGAUGGAAACCCCCGAACUAGAGUCCGGAAGAGGAGAGUGGAAUUCCUGGUGUAGCGGUGAAAUGCGCAGAUAUCAGGAAGAACACCAAUGGCGAAGGCAGCACUCUGGGACGUGACUGACGCUGAGACGCGAAAGCGUGGGGAGCAAACAGG